Molecule: long non-coding RNA, 774 nt
Organism: Micropterus dolomieu (smallmouth bass)
Lineage: Eukaryota; Metazoa; Chordata; Actinopteri; Centrarchiformes; Centrarchidae
Exons: 3
Source: RefSeq, a predicted model, not a curated record
AUCACGUCGCCCCUCUCAGAGGUCUGAAACAGCCAAUCACGUCGCUCUGAAACAGCCAAUCACAGAGACACCAGCAACUCAACCAAGCAAGAAGCUUCCGGUCAGAGAGCUGAGGCGAAUGCGGAGGUCCCAUAAACCUGUAUUCUAUUGUAAAUCCAGCAGGGGGCGACUCUUCUGGUUGCAAAAAGAAGUCCGGCUCCAUCAGAAUGAGGGCCAGGACGAGCAGCAGCAGACCGGCCAGCAGGCUCACAGUGGGAAUCAGGAUGUAGCGGAGAAGUCGAAGAUGAUUGGUCGUUCCCAGCUUGUGAGGACACGCCUCCCCGCCCAUCCCGGCCUCGGGUCCUCGAGCCGGAGUCUGGAGGACACACUAAGAUGAGUUCACUUUCAUCUGACUUUCUCUCUGCCAACUGAUUCCAGAGGUGAGACAGAGAGCAGCUCUCGGGACCAGGAGCCGAGACACGGAGGAGGACAGAGGACAGAGGACAGACACAAGGACAGCAGCACAGAGAGAAGGCAGAGAGAGCCUCACAGACAGCGGGGAGAGAGAGAGAGAGAGAGAGAGACUCACCGUUACAGAUCCAGCUCCGCUGAAGGUGACACGCGGGCAGGUCUCCAGCCGCGCGGACAACAUGACCUGAUGCUGCCCGCCGCUGAGCGCGAGACCAUCCCUCUGCCUGCAGGAGCAGCUCCGCUAACUAACAGAGCACGAGACGCGCUGGCUCCGCCCCCUCAGACUCUCCCUCCCUCUCUCUCCACGGUGAAUGUCAGUGUCGC